ACACGAAGAAGAAAAUGCGAUGAAAACAAAACGACUCUCACAAAACACCCUUCAAAUUGUAGCAACUGAAACUAAUUUCUGCCUUACUGAAACACAAUUUUGCCUAAAUUCAGGUCAACGUUACAGCUUGAUUCACUUAGACUAACUAGAUAGCUUGCUCUGAUUAACUCCAAGAGGCACAGCUAACGAUAUAUAAUAACAGAAUAUUAGCAAGCCGCUAGCUAACAUUAGCUGACAGCAAAGCCAACUAGCUUAGCUUCUACAGUUUCCGUGCUGUUUGGCGACAACUUUAGUUAGCAACUAAACAUGUCGGACGAUUAUGAAUUCAGCGAUGACACGACCAUGAUGAGAAUGGAAGAGGAUGGGGAGGCAAACAGUGAUGACCCGAUGUCUGCGGCUGGGGACUGUGGCCCGAUGGGGGGCGAGGCCGAGGGAUCAAGAAUUGACGCCAGUAAAAACGAGGAGGAUGAGGGGAAGAUGUUUGUAGGAGGGCUCAGCUGGGACACGACUAAGAAGGACCUGAAAGAUUACUUUUCCAAGUAUGGGGAGGUUGUAGACUGCACAUUAAAACUGGACCCCAUGACUGGCCGUUCAAGGGGCUUUGGCUUUGUGCUCUUCAAAGAACCUGACAGUGUUGACAAGGUUGUUACCCAAAAGGAGCAUAAACUCAAUGGAAAGGUCAUUGACCCCAAAAAAGCCAAGGCCAUGAAGAGCAAGGAGCCCGUAAAGAAGAUCUUUGUUGGUGGUCUCUCUCCAGACACUCCUGAAGAGAAAGUCAGAGAGUACUUUGGUGCCUUUGGAGAGGUGGAGUCAAUUGAACUUCCCAUGGAGAACAAAACAAACAAAAGGAGAGGCUUCUGCUUCAUCACAUUCAAAGAGGAGGAUCCAGUUAAGAGGAUCAUGGAGAAAAAGUACCACAAUAUUGGACUAAGCAAGUGUGAAAUAAAAGUGGCAAUGUCCAAAGAACAGUACCAGCAGCAGCAGUACUGGGGAGGCAGAGGUGGAUACUCAUCCAGGUCUCGAGGAAGAGGUGGUGGUCCCAAUCAAAACUGGAACCAGGGUUAUGGCAACUACUGGAAUCAAGGCUAUGGAAAUUAUGGCAAUUAUGGGUACAAUAAUCAAGGAUAUGGAGGAUAUGGUGGCUAUGAUUACCCUAGUUACAACAACUAUUAUGGAUAUGGUGACUACAACGAUCAAUCUGGUGGAUAUGGCAAGUCGCCACGGCGUGGUGGUCACACCAACAGUUACAAGCCGUAUUAAUGGGGGAAACCCUCAUCUUCAAGUAGGUAUGUAAAAACAAAAAUACUCUACUUACUGUAAACUUAAAGUAGUCAUAUUUACUUUGCUGUUUGGUAACAUUAUUUGUAAUUUCCUCUUAUAAAUUUCUUUUUCUCAGCACCCUGAAGUGCUUUACAGUAGUGGUAACAUAGAGGCUACACUCUUGUGGCGAUUAUUUUUAACAGCUGGCCUUCUGCUGCCUCUUUUGCACCUUCAUUUUUUUUAAACUGUAAAGUUAACAGGUAAAGUACUGCUACUACAGUAAAUGGAUGCCACAGAAAAGGAAGUAUGUUGUCUCCUAACUCUGACAUACCUUGUUUGUACCUGCCAGCGGAGCUUCCUUGCAGGCCAUGAGCUGACUCCCAGAUACUCUCAGGGCCCGCUCAAUGCGGACCGGGUACGAGAAGCAUACGCUCUCGAAUGCUGCCAUUUGGUAUGGUCUUACAACAUCCUGUAUCAGCAUUUCUAAACUAAAACAAUAUGGGACACGUCCAGCUUUGUCAUCUUUCUUUCCAUUUUAAUUUGUUUGCAACUGUUUGUAAUGUAAAACUUAAAAUAUACACAUGUAAUUGUCAUUUUUUACAGGCCCUUACUCCCCCACAAGUAAUGAUUAUAAAUAUGAAAAAAUAACUAUUUGUUUUUCAAAGGAUAUGUACAGCAUUCUCUGGACUUCCCAGUUCCUAUUGUUAAUAUAUGCAUUCCUAAUCUUAUCUAAAAUGCUUGUUUCUUUAUUUAGCUCUUGUAGCCAGUAGUCCAUGAGCUAAAACCUGGUUCGUAGUUGGACUCUACCGUGUUGGGGGAUAAAGUGCUUUACUUUGUGUACAUGUAUUGUUCUGUUUUGUGUUACUGACAGCGAUGGAAAAGACUCCUCUUUUGUUAAUUUUCUUGUAACGAAUUUUCCUCUUAUAACCUUUUGUAAAACAAGAAGUGUCACUACAUUUCCAGAAAUUUGCAUGUAAUGCUUCUUUAACGUGUAUUUUUGACCAAUCGAAGGUUUCUUCCAUUUAGUAUUUUGGCUUUGACCUCUUCAAUUUAUUGCACUUCAGGAUUUCUAGCUUAUGGACUAACUUUUUUUAACUGUAAAAUGUUAAAAUAAUUGUUCUCAGUUUGUUUUUUCUUAUUGUUUUUUUUUUUUUUUUUACAUUGGACAUUAUAAACACGGGGGAUUCCUAUUUUUUUAAUUAAUUUAACAGUUUUUUUGUUCAUCUAUAGCUGAUUUGUUUUUGUUUGUUUUUCACAGGUUUCAGAGUGAUGAAAGACAGCUGUGGGCUGGUGGAGCAUUGGCCAGAGAGUGAUGAUGGUAUCCAGCAAAGAUCACUAGCUGAUUUAUUUCCUGGCAACCCGUGUGGAUGUUCUUUGGAACGAGUCAGCCUGAAAAGAAACAAAGGAAAUCUAAUAAAACACCAGUGAUGGUGGAAGAAGUACCCAGAUCCUUUACUUAAAGGGGAACUCAACCAAUUUUACACAUCAAAAUCUGUUUACAUGUGUUGGGGAGUACUAUUGCAUAUGUGAAAAAAGUUGUAUUAAGUCUUUUGUGGCUUCACGGGAAGCUGUGCCAAAUCUGAUGAAUUUCAGUUGGGUCUGAAGACGAGCUACCGGACCUCUGUAGCUCCUCGUCUCUGCUGCAGGCUGGAGGCUACAGGCUACAUUAGCCGCCACUAGCAUAACACACCUGAAUCUCCCACUGAACUGUCAGUGACUGAGUUGGAUUGUGGGUAAUGUAGGCGCCAGAUUUUGACCAGGAAGAAGAAUGUGUGGAAAAGUGAUGGGAAUCACGGCUCUUUGAAGGGAGUCGGAUCUUAUGGCUCCGUUCCUUUCUGAGACUCAUAGUUCUUUCUUUUUUUUUUAUAGGGGGCGGUGGUUUUCGAGGUUUAUCUGUGAAAUAAUCACUAGGAUAAUGAUAGGGUAAGAUUUGGAUCAGAUUCAACUUAGACAUCCCACCAAUCUCAUUUUAUUUCGUAUGUGUGGACUAGGUUUAGCAGCACUAAAUUACUCGUAUUGCCAGACCUAAUGUCAAUGAUCUGCACUGUAAACGUUACAGAAGGUGACGCCAUAUCCCUCUGCUUUGUCAGUGAUUUUACUACUUUGAAUUUACCCUCUGUAUGAAAUGUGUUAUGUAAAUAAAGUUAUAUGCAACACUUAA
This is an RNA transcript of Siniperca chuatsi (mandarin fish), 3421 nucleotides long. It is a transcript of the gene named heterogeneous nuclear ribonucleoprotein D, with no coding region annotated. The transcript is spliced from 8 exons. The record is from RefSeq and is a predicted model, not a curated record. Lineage: Eukaryota; Metazoa; Chordata; Actinopteri; Centrarchiformes; Sinipercidae.